UACGUAGGGGGCAAGCGUUGUCCGGAUUUAUUGGGCGUAAAGAGCGUGUAGGCGGCCUGACAGGUCUGCUGUGAAAACUCGAGGCUCAACCUCGAGAUGUCGGCGGAAACCGUCUGGCUAGAGUCCGGAAGAGGAGAGUGGAAUUCCUGGUGUAGCGGUGAAAUGCGCAGAUAUCAGGAAGAACGCCUAUGGCGAAGGCAGCUCUCUGGGACGGUACUGACGCUGAGACGCGAAAGCGUGGGGAGCGAACAGG
This 253-nucleotide ribosomal RNA is filed under the name uncultured bacterium. RNAcentral's name for it is "partial 16S ribosomal RNA". It matches the Rfam family "Bacterial small subunit ribosomal RNA", at positions 524 to 776 of the family's 1533-position model. The record is from RNAcentral.